This is a long non-coding RNA of Canis lupus familiaris (dog), 591 nucleotides long. RefSeq lists it as uncharacterized. NCBI's taxonomy places the organism in Eukaryota, Metazoa, Chordata, Mammalia, Carnivora, Canidae. The record is from RefSeq and is a predicted model, not a curated record. The transcript is spliced from 4 exons.
AGCUUCCAGAGUCUCUGCCUUUGGGAUGCGUUUGGCUGAGAAGCUAGAAAGAGGUGAGGGCCUCCUCUCAGCUGUGCUCACUUAAUUGUCCCAAAAUCCACCAGCCCUCUCUUUCUUAAACAACCAAGAUGAUUCCCAACAAAGGCGACUACAGUAAAAUCUAAUUAAAGUCCAGGCCAGACAAAAAUGCAUAUUUUGGAUUACACAGCUUCCUUAGCUUUACACAGAGACAGAAGCAGAGACAUAGGCAGCACUCAACCCCUGAGCCACCCAGGUGCCCCCGCCCCCCCAGCUUAUUGGUCUUUCUGCUGGAGCCGUGGUUCUCAACCUUGCAGCACGCUGGGAUCGUCAGCCAGUUAAAUCAAUAGAGAGGGCCUGGAACAGAUUUCCACUUGGCUCCUGGGCUGGUGUAUUCAUUGGGUAAACAGAGGAUGGUAUGCAGAAUUCUGGAGACUGUGGAAGCCAAAAGAAUCAUCUCAUCUCCUGGGAACCAAUUAGGGUUCCUGAAUGGCAAACCUCUUGUGUGGGUUUUCUUUUUUUUCUUUUUGUUUUUGUUUUUAAAUAAAAAUCACAAAGCAUUCCGAAGAGGCA